Molecule: ribosomal RNA, 285 nt
Filed under: Synchroma pusillum
Lineage: Eukaryota; Synchromophyceae; Synchromales; Synchromaceae
Description: partial Bacterial small subunit ribosomal RNA
Rfam family: Bacterial small subunit ribosomal RNA
Source: RNAcentral
GACGGGUGAGUAACGCGUGGGAACGUGCCCUUCGGUACGGAAUAGCCCUGGGAAACUGGGAUUAAUACCGUAUACGACCUUCGGGUGAAAGAUUUAUCGCCGAAGGAUCGGCCCGCGUUAGAUUAGCUUGAUGGUGGGGUAAAGGCCUACCAUGGCGACGAUCUAUAGCUGUUCUGAGAGGAAGAUCAGCCACACUGGGACUGAGACACGGCCCAGACUCCUACGGGAGGCAGCAGUGGGGAAUAUUGGACAAUGGGGGCAACCCUGAUCCAGCCAUGCCGCGUG